UGGGGAAUCUUGCGCAAUGGGCGAAAGCCUGACGCAGCGACGCCGCGUGAGUGAUGAAGGCCUUCGGGUUGUAAAGCUCUGUGGGGAGAGAAGGAUAAGUGCGGGCUAAUACUCCGCAUGAUGACGGUAUCUCCUUAGCAAGCACCGGCUAACUCUGUGCCAGCAGCCGCGGUAAGACAGAGGGUGCAAACGUUGUUCGGAAUUACUGGGCGUAAAGCGAGCGUAGGCGGUUUGGUAAGUCGGAUGUGAAAGCCCCGGGCUCAACCCGGGGAGUGCACUCGAUACUGCCAAGCUAGAGUGUCGGAGAGGUUGGUGGAAUUCUCGGUGUAGAGGUGAAAUUCGUAGAUAUCGAGAGGAACACCGGUGGCGAAGGCGGCCAACUGGACGAACACUGACGCUGAGACUCGAAAGCGUGGGGAGCAAACAGGAUUAGAUACCCUGGUAGUCCACGCCGUAAACGGUGGGUGCUAGGUGUCGCGGGCUUUGACUCCUGCGGUGCCGUAGCUAACGCAUUAAGCACCCCGCCUGGGAAGUACGGCCGCAAGGCUAA
RNAcentral lists this ribosomal RNA (550 nucleotides) under uncultured Sorangiineae bacterium. RNAcentral describes it as "bacterial SSU rRNA". It matches the Rfam family "Bacterial small subunit ribosomal RNA", at positions 355 to 897 of the family's 1533-position model. Lineage: Bacteria; Pseudomonadati; Myxococcota; Myxococcia; Myxococcales. The record is from RNAcentral.